This 249-nucleotide RNase P RNA is filed under the name Dechloromonas sp. Its description in RNAcentral is "partial RNase P RNA component class A". It matches the Rfam family "Bacterial RNase P class A", at positions 123 to 367 of the family's 367-position model. Rfam says of the family: Ribonuclease P (RNase P) is a ubiquitous endoribonuclease, found in archaea, bacteria and eukarya as well as chloroplasts and mitochondria. Its best characterised activity is the generation of mature 5'-ends of tRNAs by cleaving the 5'-leader elements of precursor-tRNAs. The record is from RNAcentral. Lineage: Bacteria; Pseudomonadati; Pseudomonadota; Betaproteobacteria; Rhodocyclales; Azonexaceae.
AGACCGCCGAUGGCGCCGCAAGGCGCACAGGCAAGGGUGAAACGGCGAGGCAAGAGCUCACCGCGGACGUGGCAACACGGACGGCACGGCAAACCCCAUCCGGAGCAAGACCAAAUAGGGAAGCUUGAGCGUGGCCCGCGCUGCUUCCGGGUAGGUUGCUUGAGCCUGCCGGUGACGGCAGGCCUAGAGGAAUGAUUGCCGAACCCCGCGAGGGGGGAACAGAACCCGGCUUAUCGGCCGGCUUUCCAU